UACGGGGGGGGCAAGCGUUGUUCGGAAUUACUGGGCGUAAAGGGCUUGUAGGUGGCCAACUAAGUCAGACGUGAAAUCCCUCGGCUUAACCGGGGAACUGCGUCUGAUACUGGAUGGCUGGAGUGUGGGAGAGGGAUGCGGAAUUCCAGGUGUAGCGGUGAAAUGCGUAGAUAUCCCCAAGAACACCAGUUGCGAAGGCGGCUGACUGGACACAUAUUGACGCUGAGGCUCGAAAGCAUGGGGAGCAAACAGG
RNAcentral lists this ribosomal RNA (253 nucleotides) under uncultured bacterium. Its description in RNAcentral is "partial 16S ribosomal RNA". It matches the Rfam family "Bacterial small subunit ribosomal RNA", at positions 524 to 776 of the family's 1533-position model. The record is from RNAcentral.